AAGACGGCGCCCAAUCCGGGACGAGCGCAGGUAGGUGGCUAACCAAUCAGAGAAAAGGAGGGUUUCAGCACACAACAGAGAGCAGAACAGCCAAUCAGAAGGUGAGGCCGGCUCGCGGUGUGGGCAGGGCGGGCCAAUCACCCGCUAGCUUGGGGGGCGUGUUGAACUUUGGUGGGAGCUUUGGUUUGGUGGGGAUGUGUACCGAGUGAAGGCUUCCUCGAUACCGGGAGCCAGCCCGGGGUCGACAGGACUUGAGCGCCUGUCAGAGCGCAUGCUCGAAGCGGGGAGGCAACCUCGGCACUAUGGAGUCUGAACUCACCUACUUUUAGUUAUGAGUUAACUGAGGCCAGAGACCCAGAGGGGACUUAUUUUCCUUUGCCCUUUACUGACUGGCAACGGAGCAAGUCACACAAAACUGACAACCUUUCCAUUAAAGGUUGGGGGUGGGAUGGGGGAAGGAACUCCCGGGUCGGGGCUCACAGUCGGCCCCCUGAAUGCUUUAUGGAAGCUUAACUGAUGUCGAGUGGAAGCGUAAUUGAAAUUAAAAGACUCCGUUCCUCAUUUCAUUCAAUUAACACAGAUUUAUUGAUUCAAUCCCAUUUAUGCUGCUUAAUGAGGCAUCUUGGGAGCAUUUUAAACAAGAGGCGGGUUUUCCACCUAUACCUCAGUUUUCCCAAAACAUUCCUCUCAUUGUCCUACAGGCUUUGCAUAAAUAGCCACACCUUACCACCCACCUCUCCCUCUCCCACCCUCACUCUCUCUUGGGCUAGAUUGCAGUGCUUACAGUCAGGUAAAGUGCCCGGCUCCUCCUGUCGUUGAGCCUUUUCACAUGCUGUUCCAGUCUGUCUCAGGUGUCUGUCCUCACUUAGAGGUUUCCAUGGCCAGGAGAGGGGCCUCCACUGGGCUCCCACAGUUGCAUCCCAGUUGCAUCCCCUCUCCUACCCCAGCACUGACCACACUGGACUGUAAUUGGCUCCUUGUCUGUCUCUCAACAGUAAACAAUGGUUCUCCGAAUUCAUGCAGCGCCGAGAUCAGCUUGUAGAAAAUGGGCCCUGGAUUGAUCCAGUAGAUCUUGGGUUGCAGCCUUGGAGUCUACAUUCUUAUGUCCCCUGGGGCUCUGAUAUAAGCGGUUGCAGCCACAACUGGAGAAGACCUGGGCAGCAUGAAGACAGGGCCUGUUAUGUAUUGGAGACUGGCCCAGGCCGAUGCUAGAACAAGUGCCGGAUAAAUAACCUAAGUGUUUAUGAGAAGUGAGAACACAGCAGAGGAUUCCGCUGACUCUGUGAGCCAGCCAGGCAGCAGGACCCCCAGAUCGAGAACCAGAGCCCCAGGAGCUCCUGACACCCCUUCUCAUCACCCCAGCGUGACCACCAUCCCAUCUGCUAGCACCAUACAUUAGGUUAGUCUGAUCUCUGUACUUUCUAUAAGCCGAAUGCUACAGUACGUGCUUUGGGGGCGUGGCUCCUUUCCCGGCAUUGUGUUUGUGAGAUCCAUGCUGCGGCCUCUAGUUGUAAUUCGUCUACUCUCCCUGUGUAGUGUUCCACGGUGUGAACACACCAUGUUUAUUGGUUUCUUUUCCAUUCGACUAGACUUUUUUUUUUUGGCUGCACCACACGGCCUGUGGGAUCUUCCCCGACCAGGGGUCAAACCCGUGCCCCCUGCAUCGGGAGUGCGGAGUCUUAACCACUGCGCCACCAGGGAAGUCCUUCCAUUCAACUCUGCUGGACUUCGGGGUGUUUCCAGGUCUGGGGUGUUAGGAAUGGUGCUGCUAGGAACAGCCUUGUGCAGAUCUUUGGUGUACAAAUGGAUGCUUUUCCGAUGGCGAUGUGCCUAGGAGCCAGUGCGGGGUCCCAUGAGAUGGGAGAGAUGACAGCACAGACCUGCCAUGUGGAUGAGGAGCUGGGCUGUGCAGGCAUGAAAGCUGUGAGGGGAACCAUGGGAAGCUGAAGGAGCUACCUGCCUCCUCCCUGAGCUGAGGGGUGGACCAGUGAUGCCCCUGGUAUCUCUCUGAGCAUCCUGGGAGGUGCUCCAUCCUUAGUCACUCGUCUUAGCUCCACUACAGCCUGGGAGGCAGUUCUUAAUGCACCCAGUUUAUAGCUGAGGACAGUAAGGCUCUGAGCGUCCCACCAUUUGCCAAGUCAACUGGCUAGUGUGUGACAGAGCCACGAUUUGAAUCCAGGUCUGCCUGAUGGGCAGGCCCAGGUUCUGAACCACCCUGCAUCCCAUUAACCAAACUGCAGGCUGCCUCCUCCCACUGCCCAGAGGAGUCCUCAGACAAGCCGCAGCUGUCCCGGGCAGGGCAGGCCUUUCACUUUGGCCUCUCCUCUGGAAGGGAAUUCACAGACAGUGCGGCCCCCGGAUUAGAGGCACAAUGUCUUACUCUGUGCACCACACCCCAGCCACCCUGGCAUGCGCUCAAAGUCCCUAGGAAAGAACUCUUCCCCUCUCUGGGCCUGUUUCCCCGAAAUGUGUCAGCUGCCGCCCUCUAGAUUAGAGGUUUGUUCAUGCACUUCCGGGACUAUUUGAGCUCCUAGGCGGUGCCAGACCACAUCCGUCUGGGCAUCAAGGAUGAAGGGAGAAAGAUGGAGAGAAGCAAGGGUGCUGCCAUUGAGAAACUGUCCUUCCCACAGAGGAUGUGGGACUCCUGGAUCCUAAAGAUGCCAGUAAGAAAGACAAAUGGUCUCAAAGUAGAAGUGACAGUUUUGGCUUCAAAACCUCUAAGAGGAGCCAUUCACUGUCUGUGUCUUAGCAUAGAGGCUUCUAGAAGUCAGGGCCUAGCGUUCCAAACACCAUGGAGCCAAGUCCUCGAGACACAUUGUCUGGCUCAGUCUCCCAAGCCACAAGCUCCCCUGGUUUGUGGCAUGUGCUGAUUUCCAUGGUGUAAAUACUCUCUCCUGUGGCCACUUGCCAGCCACCAUCGUGAUGGUACUGAACAAGGAGUUAGGAAGAGAUGCACAGUCCGCUCUCGCUAGCAGAUGGGGUGCAAGCCGGCUCCGGAGCCUCCACCGCUGCCUGUGCAGCACCUGGCGCAGUGCUUGGCACACAGUAGGCGCACAGGAAAUACUUGGUGGACAGAUGAUCCUUCUUCACCUGUCCUGUCCCAUUUGCGUACACGCCCUGGGAGCCAUUUAUAUUGUAAUCGAAACCACUGUUUACUGAGCACUUGAUGUGAACCACAGAUUGGGCCAAAGACGACACUACGACACUACGAGAUCUUACCCUCCACACCCCCCUCAGGCUGCACGAUAAUCAGUCUCACAGGCGAUGCAGCAGAAGCCCUACGGGUUCAGGAGAUACGAGUGUCCACGCUGGGGCUGCUGUGUAUUCGCUGUAUGCACUGGGGUGGUCAUCCUCCACUCUCAGUUUCCCCUUUCAUCAACAAGGGGGCUGGCAUCAGUUACCUACUGCUGUGUAACAAGCCAGUCCCAAACCUAGUGCCUUCAGACCAUCACCAUUUUAUUCAAGAUCUGCAACUUGGCUGGCUCAAUUCUGCUGGGUCACUCAUGCAGCUGGUGGCUCGACUGGGCCUGUGUGGUCCAAGGGGCUUCCCUCAAAUCUGACCCUUAGCUGGGGCUGCUGGCCCGGGUGCCACAUUCUCCUUCACGUGGCCUCCGGCAGAAGUGCCAAGGUUUUCAUGGCCGCAAAUACUCUCCAAGAGGGCGACCCCAGUGCACCAGAGCUCGCCAAGCCUCUGCUUGCAUCACGUCACUCUUGUUCCACUGGCCAAAGCAGGUCACGUGGCCGAGGUCAGAGCUGCCAUGGGAGAGGCCUAUACAAGGACAUGGAUUCCAAGAGGCACGAUUCGUGGGGGCCGUGACUGUAACAGUCCACUGGCCGCCACAGAAAUAAGUGGGCCAGGAUUCCCCUGAGGGCCUUCCCAGACCUGGUGUCUGGUAUUCUGAGCUUCCUGGGACUUGUUAUGCUAGAAAGGAAGUUCUCCAAGACUGAUUCAGGGUGUGUGUGGGGGGGAUGGCAAAAGGACCCAGGAGCCAGCUCAAAGGGGCUCCCACUGGGAAAAUUUGUGACCAUCUGAACAUCAGAAAACUGAUUGUAACUGAUUGUAAAUAUCAAAUAAAUAAUAACCCACGAGUCCACAGUGGUAUUCAAAACGGAAGAGGUAAAACUCUUUGCGGAAUGCUAUUCGGCGACAGAGAAAUAAAAUACUGAUACACGCCAUAGACGGGAUGAAUCUCAAAACAGCAUUCUAUGUGUAGAAGCCAAGCACAAAAGAUCACGUGUGUGUGACCCCACUCACAGGAAAUGUCUGGAAAAGGCAAGUCAUGAGAGAGAGUAAAUCGGUGGCGGCCUGGGGGCUGGGGGACUCCCUGCAGUUGAGCAUAAGGGGUCUUUUGGGGUGAUGGAAAUACUCUAAAACAGGGGUCCCCAACCCUUGGGCGAUGGACCGGUAGCGGUCCGUGGCCUGUUAGGAACCGGGCUGCACAGCGGGGUGUGAGCGGCGGGCGAGUGAGUGACGCUUCAUCUGUCUUUACAGCUGCUCCCCGUCGCUCGCAGUACCGCCUGAGCUCCAUCGCCUGUCAGAUCAGUGGUGGAAUUAGAUUCUCAUAGGAGCACGAACCCUACCGUGAACUGCGCAUGCGAGGGAUCUAUGUUGCGCACUCCUUACGAGAAUCUAAUGCCUGAUGAUCUGAGGUGGAGCUGAGGCGGUGAUGGCAGCACUGGGGAGCGGCUGCAAAUACAGAUGAGCAGAGAGGUUUCACUGCACAGAGACUGUAAUAAAUCAGUUGCUUGCAGACUCAUAUCAAAACCCUAUCAGUGGGCUUCCCUGGUGGCACAGUGGUUGAGAAUCCGCCUGCCAAUGCAGGGGACACGGGUUCGAGCCCUGGUCCGGGAAGAUCCCACAAGCCGCGAAGCAACUAAGCCCGUGCGCCACAACUACUGAGCCUGUGCUCUAGAGCCCACGAGCCACAACUACUGAAGCCCACGCGCCUAGAUCCCGUGCUCCGCAACAAGCGAAGCCACCGCAAUGAGAAGCCCACGCACCGCAACGAAGAGUAGCCCCUGCUCGCUACUACUAGAGAAACUUUUCUAUACAUUUAAAAAUUUCAAAAGCACAGAAAAUUUUUAAAACGUACAGUGGUCCCUGCUUAUCCAGUUUUGCUUUCUGAGACUGCACUUACCCUCAGUCAACCAUGGUACGAAAAUAUUACAUGGAAAAUUCCAGAAAUAAACAGUUCAUAAAUUUUAAAUUGCACACCGUUCUGAGUAGCAUGAUGAAAUCUCGUGCCAUCUCGAGCCAUCCUGCUCUGUCCCCUGGGAUGUGAAUCAUCCCUCUGUCCGGCGUACCCAUGCUGUAUACACUACCCGCCCUUUAAUAGCCAUCUGGGUUAUCAGAAUGACUAUCACAGCAUCACAGUGCUUGUGUGUGAGCAAUCCUUACUUUACUAAAUGGUCACCCAGCACAAGAGGAGCGAUGCUGGCAAUCCAGAUAUGACAGAGAGAAGCUGUCAGGUGCUUCCUUUAAGUGAAAGUUUUCAACUUAGGAAAGGAAAAAAAUCAUGUACUGAGGUUGCUGAGAUCUACAGUAAGAACAAAUCUUUUAUCCAUGAAAUUAUGAAGAAGGAAAAAGAAAUUUGUGCUAGUUUUGCUGUUGCACCUCAAGCUGCAAGUUACAGCCAGUGUGUGAUGUGAUUAGUUGAGAUGGAAAAGGCAUUAAAUUUGUACAAUAUUUUGAGACAGACCAUAUUCACGUAACUAUUAUUACAGCAUAUUGUUAUAAUUGUUCAAUUAUUCUUGUCAUUGAUCUCUCACUGUGCCUGAUUUAUAGAAAUUAAACUUUAGGAAUUCCCUGGC
Long non-coding RNA from Orcinus orca (killer whale), 5811 nucleotides. RefSeq lists it as uncharacterized. The transcript is spliced from 2 exons. The record is from RefSeq and is a predicted model, not a curated record. NCBI's taxonomy places the organism in Eukaryota, Metazoa, Chordata, Mammalia, Artiodactyla, Delphinidae.